RNAcentral lists this ribosomal RNA (557 nucleotides) under Curvularia sp. SZMC 21168. RNAcentral describes it as "eukaryotic LSU rRNA". The stretch from base 195 to 348 matches the Rfam family "5.8S ribosomal RNA". Lineage: Eukaryota; Fungi; Ascomycota; Dothideomycetes; Pleosporales; Pleosporaceae. The record is from RNAcentral.
UUCCGUAGGUGAACCUGCGGAGGGAUCAUUACACAAUACAAUAUGAAGGCUGUCCGCAGCUGGAGUAUUUUAUUACCCUUGUCUUUUGCGCACUUGUUGUUUCCUGGGCGGGUUCGCUCGCCACCAGGACCACCAAAUAAACCUUUUUUAUGCAGUUGCAAUCAGCGUCAGUACAAACAAUGUAAAUCAUUUACAACUUUCAACAACGGAUCUCUUGGUUCUGGCAUCGAUGAAGAACGCAGCGAAAUGCGAUACGUAGUGUGAAUUGCAGAAUUCAGUGAAUCAUCGAAUCUUUGAACGCACAUUGCGCCCUUUGGUAUUCCAAAGGGCAUGCCUGUUCGAGCGUCAUUUGUACCCUCAAGCUUUGCUUGGUGUUGGGCGUUUUUGUCUUUGGUCGCCCAAAGACUCGCCUUAAAGUGAUUGGCAGCCGGCCUUUCUGGUUUCGCAGCGCAGCACAUUUUUGCGCUUGCCAUCAGCAAAACGGCAAUCCAUCAAGCCUCCUUCUCACGUUUGACCUCGGAUCAGGUAGGGAUACCCGCUGAACUUAAGCAUAUCAA